UUUCCGUAGGUGAACCUGCGGAAGGAUCAUUAUUGAAUAAACAGUGGGGGUUGUUGCUGGCCUUCUGGCAUGUGCACGCCUGCCAUAUGUUUCAUUCCCUUCUUUCCACCUGUGCACUCUGUGUAGUCUAUGUAUGCUGUAUUGUCAGGCCCUUCAUAAGGCUUGGUUUAGAGAGGAGGCUUGUCGUUAUGAGACAGGCUCAUCUUGGGCGUACAGGUCUAUGUUUUACACCAACACCAAAUGAAUGUCUUAGAAUGUAUUUUUUCAGGCUCUUGCUAGCCUUAAAACCAUAAACAACUUUCAACAACGGAUCUCUUGGCUCUC
This 324-nucleotide unclassified non-coding RNA is filed under the name plant metagenome. Its description in RNAcentral is "partial contains small subunit ribosomal RNA, internal transcribed spacer 1, and 5.8S ribosomal RNA". The record is from RNAcentral.